Molecule: long non-coding RNA, 592 nt
Organism: Neolamprologus brichardi
Lineage: Eukaryota; Metazoa; Chordata; Actinopteri; Cichliformes; Cichlidae
Source: RefSeq, a predicted model, not a curated record
UGUAGCCUCAAGCAGUUCGUUUUAACAAAAUUGUUCAGCAGUAAAUGUUAGAUUUUGGUGAUUUUUGAAAAAAUAAUGUUAACAGCUUCAUCUUAUUUAUGAUGAUAUAUUUUGGGUUUCAGGAGAGUCCAGGUGAAGCUCUAAUCUCUUAAAGCCAAAACAACACUUCUAAUGAGUUCCUGCAACACAUAAAUAAAUGUGUUAGGUCACAGAGUGAAGACUCAUAUGCCCACCUCCACAGACCAGGUAAGAGAUACUCAGCCAGUCAUGUGUCACGGACACUCCGUGCUGACCACAAACUACCAGAGAGAAGCCUCCAGUCACUGUGGACUGUCCUGGGACUAGUAGAGGUGGUCUAGUAGCUGGAGCCUCCCAGGAGUUGUCUGUCGUCUUCUACUGGAUCCUAUCCCAGGUGCACCAGGCAGGAUGCAAGAUGAACAGGUAAAUAGCAACAGGUCACUUGCAAAGUCCACAUGCAUAGAAAGCCCCUCAGCCAGCUGAUGGGUUCAAACCUGGGACCUUCUUUCUUUAAGGUGAUGGUGCUAACCACCAAACCAUUAUGCUUCCGGACUUUUAGCACAACAUAUUUGUA